RNAcentral lists this long non-coding RNA (1169 nucleotides) under Helianthus annuus (common sunflower). The record is from RNAcentral. Lineage: Eukaryota; Viridiplantae; Streptophyta; Magnoliopsida; Asterales; Asteraceae.
CCAUUACUUCACACGGAUCAUGAUCCCCUGAAUUCUGUCCUAUAAUCCCUACUUUUGUACAAUCCCCCAAUCUCAUUUCAAAUUCCAAAUCCACAGCUCCCUUCGCUUUUCAUUCUCUCUCCGAUUUUGGAUCUGGAUCUGCUAUAUCUUUGCCUUGCGUGGCUUAAUUCCAACAUUCAGUUUCUAAUUCAAGCUCUCAACAACGGGGACAAAUACAUCAACCAACGGCGACACAGUCAGGUUGUUUAAAUUUAGGGUUCCAGCAAAAAAUGGAGAUGGUUACGAGUUCCGGUGGUGAUUGUGUUAAGAUUCUACAGCCAUCAGAGGAGAGGAGGAUGGACCUUCCAACGAAGCUCCGGUGAAGAUUUUGGCAACUCCGGUAAGGAAGUUCUGCCGUGCUUUCCUUCUAUUCAAGGGUUAUAGUAGAGCAAAAGAUCUAGAAAGUGAGGAACUAACUAUUGGAACAACUUCCUUCUUUGCUGUAUCUACUGUAUCACCUUAUCGGAUGCAUGGUGGAUGUUUGGACAAAGGAAAGAGAAGUUGCUGGAUUAAAGGCAGCUUGAGGGAUGUUAGCUUACAUGUAUCUUGGCAAGUCAAAUAACCCGUCAUGUUGGCCAGGUCUGAUUACAUUAUUAUCAUGUAGUUUUAUGCCGAUAGCCACCGGAAAGAACAUGGAAAACCUGAUUUUGAGUCAUUUAAGCAAAAGUGAACGCAGCCGCAGCAGUGAAGGGCAUUAAUGAACUGGGUUCCAAAAGGAGUUUCAAGGGCAAUGGUGGACUUGGAGAUGUCGUUUUAUGCAAGAAUAAGUUGGAUGGAAGACAAUAUGAUGUUAAGAAGAUUCAAUUAAAGGGCGGAAGUCAUCCUUUAGAUGAUAAAAUCAAGUAUUUAGUUGGAAUUGCUAACAACCUUGCUUUUCUAGUUCUGUACCCGUUCGGUGGACAGACAUAUUAAUGGUAUAAUGACAUAAGUUAUACCCUGAUUAUGUUUUAACCUGUCUUCUAGUUUUGUUUUGUUUGUUUUAGUAUUUAAAUUUCUAUAACUAGUACUUUUAUUUGGUUGUUUGUAAGAUUAAUGUUUAUUAGUUUAAUUAAGAAUCUUAAUUUGUUUCCAUAAUGCUUUGGUAUUUGUUUGUACAUAUUGAACAUUUUUAUUUACAUAUAGUGUGGUUA